CACUAGACCAAGUUGCCCAAAGCCCCAUCCAACCUGGCCUUGAACACUUCCAGGGAUGGGGUACCCAGCUUCUCUGGCCAAUCUGUGCCUAAAACAGACACUGAUCUAGCAGAAAGUAAUGCAAAUCUGCUGAUUCCAUAAACCUGAGAUUUCAUCUAAAAGAAUGCAACACAGGGGCUCAACUGAAACACCAAGUAACCACUGCCCCAGACCACCCACUCCAGCUUUCCUUACAGGCUUCCACGGAAGACUUGCUCUGCCAAGUUCAGGGAAAGACAAAAGAAACCAUUACAGAAGUGGAGUGAGCUCCUGCCUAUAGAGUGUCUGUCUUUGGCUGCAGUAUGUGGACAAGACAAAGGCUCCUGAAGUGUUUGUUUUAUCCAGACUGACUUGGAAGGAGGAAAUUGUAACCACAGCCAUUCAUUUAUAUUUUAAAAAAAUACCCUAUUGAAGCAUAAUCAUCUUCAUCAGAACUUGAAUGACCAUACCACUCACAGGUUUUAUGUUCUUAAACUACACAAAAAUUACCAUGUUUCUACCUGCUUUCAACACAGGACAUGAGGAGAAGAAAGAAUUCAGAUAUUAUACCAUUUCUAGAGCCAAAGUAAAACUUUGGCUUUCACAAAUAAGCAUUUCUGCAAAAUGAGUUGAGAUGCAUCUCACAGGAAAGACUUAAGAGCACUUUCAAGUUGGAAAGCAGAUUAUCACCAACUAUAAAACUAAGUUUGAGCUCAGUAAAUAACAAUUUACGCUGCACAAACAGAACUUGAGUUACUACACACAAAGGGCAUUUCUGACCGCUUCCCACAUUCAGCCUGUGGCUGUCAAUAUGCUGCCUGGAGCUAAUGGAUUUUCCCUGCUGCCAGCAAGCGACCUCACAGCACCAAGCCUGCUUGUGUACUCAGCACAGCAAUUUGGUUCCAAGGUAAAAUGCUCAACUUCAGGGACACCUUGCCCACACCAGUGGUUUUGUGCAUCUUGUGACCAAAUUACUUUUUAACUCUUAUUUAUAACACUGUAAUAUUUCCUCCUUCUUGAAAGAAUGAUUUACAAUUAAUCUGUGUCUUGCAGACUCCAGAAAAUCCAUGUCACAAAAAAAACUGAGCUAAGGAAUAGAUGCUCUAGUGCCUAAGACAAGGCAGGAAUUCACGCUGCAUUCUUCCCAACCCUGAAAGGAAUCAAUAGCAUCCCCUCCUAUCUGCACCUACCUCUUUUCAUAAAACUCAGAGGAAAUUCACUAUCAAAGAGCUAUCCUCACAACUUCAGCUGACUUUGGCUGAUGAGCUCAGAAGUUUGGGGACCAAUUUAACUAGACAGUGACCAAAUGUAAUCCUUCUCAGCAAAAACCAGGCUAAAAAGGAAUCCUAAGGGAUUAUCACUACUUACUUUCCUUAUGGUCUUCCUUUUUGGGGCCCGAUACCAGCUUUGCCAACUGCCUACAUUAAGAAAGAGGACAGAGGAAAGGGGAACAGAAUUGCUGAAUUAGAAGUAUUGUACACAAGUGUUGUAUCACAUUGCAUUGUACAUUUCUCACUUUAGACUGGGGAACUUCACUGGGUUUAUAACUCAGUGCUCCACAUCAUGCAAAGAAAAGCAUGUGGACCUCAAGGAGGAUUCAGACCCCAAGUCUGUUGUGUACCAUAUGCACACAGUUCUUGAAGGACAGAUUCUUCCUAACCUGGUAAUCUUGAUGUCUCAAUAGGGCAAUAAUAUCUCAGUAACCAGUUCAGAUAACUACAUUCUUCCUUCUUUUCCUAGGAAUGUUCGGUUUUUUAUCCUCCCAGGAUAUUCCGGUGGAAGAACAUGAAAAUGUAGUUCAAGGAUGACAGAAAAAUUGGUCAGAAAAUGAGAGAGUGAUCUUUGUGGCUAAGUCUCCUACUAGAAAGAAGAGUGUCAUGCCUCCUGAACAUUCUGACCUAAGAGAGGAGGGUGAAAUGCUGGAUUGACAAAGAGCUGGAACUUCUGAAGACGGAGGUUCAAAUUAUUCAUGGCUACACCGUAUGACUCAUGCACAAUGUUCUCUGGUGGAUGAGCAACCACGAGUACGUGAUGGGAGAGCAAUGAAAAUUUACACACAGGGAGCAUUUGUGGAUUACUCUGAGCUCAGACGAGUGUUGCAUUCUAUUGCUGUGGUAACUGAGCACAUCAGUGUACCUCACAUGGCAAAACUGUAUUCUGUUCUUAGCCAUCAGGAAGAUGAUGAUAAAACCUAAUUAAUGAAGCUUAAACCAAAAAAUAUCUCCUAUUCAGCGUGACUGUGUGAGCCGGUCAGGAGCUGCUCUACUACAUGAAGACAGAGAUUUUAACAAGUACUUAUUCACAGUGCAGAAAAGAACAGUUCCAGCUUUCAAUUGUGGCUCUUCAGGAACUGUCUUCUUUCUCAUUGUUGAAAGUACCAUUGAUAGAGAUCCACAGUCCUCUGACAUAGAUUCCUGCAGUCUCUCUAGCCUACUCUCUAUUUUGGGUGCUUAAGGACACAUUUGAAGCUAGUGGUCUAGAAAGAUCUUGUGAUGGCAUAAGCCUAAACAUAUAUUGCCUAAAUAUUACUAACAAUUGUAUGUAUGUACAGGUUCUCGAUCCUUUUGAUGAAGAAGUAAACAGGGUUCUCAAGCUGUAUUCAUGCUGACUCCUGAUUUGUCUUUUCUUUUUUUUUUGGUCAAGCAAUAAAGAAAGAAAUUGCAGCCCACAGUUGUCUGAGAUACUCGACUUGACAUACGCAAAUGAUGUACAGCUCCCACAUAGAUAAAUUAUCUUUAACAUAUCUCAGUAAUUGUAGCAGCCAUAGAAAAAAAGAACAGAAGAAAGAAACUUCUUUCAGUACAUCAACUGAAACCAGGCAUAAUGCAACGCUGAGCCAGCAACAGUUGGUGAAAACAACUAUAAGCCAGAUUACAACAAAGAGGAGAAAUAGGACAUUUCUUAUAUGGCACCCACUUCCAUCAAGAAAUAAAAGGAGAAAAUACUAAUGAAAGCAGACUACCUUGUUUGACAAGUAUUUAAUGCUUCCAUUCACAACAUUGUCCCUAAAGGAAGAAUCAGGCAUGGCCAUCUGAGGGAGAGCUGUUCCCUGAAGGAUAUGAAGGAGACACAGAUUGCCUAUUUAAGCAGCCUCCUGUCAUUUGCAACUCGAAAUGCUGCUUUACUUUCUGAGGUCACUCAAAACUCUUUUUGUGACUGAAGUCACAACCUGAAUUUAUUUAUUCCAUAUCCUGUUUACUAAUUCACCGAUAAGUCCUCCUUACCAUGCUAACCAAUCACUGCAUCACAUGGUUUCUUUCUACACAAGAACAAAUCAGCUCAUCCAUUGAUGCCUUUGUGAACACAUUGUCAAGAUUUGUUCCACUUCAACACCAAAGCAAAGCACUGGCCUUGUGGCCUAGAAGGAAGAUAUUACUGUAGCAACUUGAGGUGCUGGUGAUACUGCAUGGUUUCCCUUCUCUUCCUCUUUACUGUACUGCACUCCUGCCAAAAGUUAACUUUACAGGAGAGUGAUUCCUUUUGAGAAGACAGACAGGGCUGCCUCAAUUAUCCUGACUCAUCACGUUUGGAACAAAACAAGGACCAACUGCAGAAAGAGACAUUUGUAACGCUUGCUCCAGAACACAAAAUAAACAGAGCGAGCGCGCAGCUGGCCUGGUGGCAGCUACAGAGCCUAAGCCUUUGCUUGUCGUUUGGCAGGAAGAGCUGCAGUGCCUGCAUAGGAAUGAAACAUUUUCUUUUCACCAGAUCUCUUUGCCACAUUCAAGAACACCAAUAAGAUACAGCAGCUGACUGGAAAAGAGGACAGAGCCUGUUAGGAUUUCACGUUAAGAAAAUAGCCAUUAUACUCCCAAUCCAGUACAUACAUUCUUCUAGGUUCGUAUCACCUCGAUUACUGCACUUCCAGUAAUACAGAAACCAGGAUCCUGAGCUGAACAAAUUCAAAAAGAAAUUUCUUAAUUGGGAAUAAGAAACUGAAAAAUUAACCGAGAUCUGUAUCACAAACCAACUUCAAACAAGUAAAACAAAACCACCAAAGAUUUCUACCAUGCUGAAAGUUUGUGAUUAAAAAAGCCACAAAUCUUGCUCUCAGAAGUUCAUUAUGUAGCAUUGUACACUGAAAUACAGGAUGUUGUUAUGCAGCCAAGCAUCUGGGGAGAUUAACCGUGAUUAAAAAAAAAUCUCUGGGAAAAGCAGUUAUUUAAUAGAACAAGGAUGACGGCAAAACAAGCUACCGGAUUUGUGCAAUUGAAUCAAGCUGGAUGUUAGGAACCAUUAUGUUACCAUAAAACAAAUCAAACAGAAAUAUUUACCUUGAUCCUAAGAGAUGCUGAGUACAAAGCUCCCAGCAGUUUCCCACCACAAAAACAGAGCAGUACCUUACAGACAGGGCGGUGUAAAACGACCUGAAGCGUUCAGGAAUACGUUUCUUCAUAGUACCGAAGAAAAGGAAUUCGGGGAAGCCACGUAGGAGGGUGUCCUGAGAGACAUGGUAAAUACCGAGCAAAGGGGAUGUUGAACCCAUGUUGCAAUGACAGCUGUGGGCAACAACAGAGAGACUAAAGGCCAAGAGGAAGACACAGCCAAGCCCAGAGCAGAGAGAAAAAGCCAGAGACAAAAACUGUAUAGGGUUCUAUUCCUAUGUUGUAAAGCUAUCCUCCCACUACCUACAGUCACAUCAAUGCUCAAUCUCAACACACAGUUAAACUCUGCACUACAGCUGUAUUUCACCAUUCUGAAAUGCUACAUAAAUACUACAUAAUUAAAACAGCUAAAGCUUUUCCUGACAGUUUUCUUGCAUUCAAAUAUACAUGCUCUUUCUUCCAAGUAUGAAGCAUCAUCACUACUUGGAAGAAGCCUGCUCCUUGUACUGAAUAGAACUGCUUAGCUGAUUUACAGGGCAUUUACUGUAACUGCUCCUGGGCAUAAAGCAAGCAGUUUUUGUUUGUUGGCUUGGUUAUUGGAGGGUUUUUUUUGCUUUUUUCAGUGAAGAGUGACAACUGUCAGAAGUAUCCAUUAGCACAGAAUUUGUCCAAGAAAAAUUCUGUCAUAUUGCUGUUAUUACAGGAAAGACAAGAAAAGUAAUCUCCAACAAGGACAUAUGACUUGGCAGACGUGAAACAGAGAUAUCAGCCUCAAAUUCCAAGAACAAACUUAACUACUGCCAGCAAGCUGACAGCUACAGUUCAUGUGCAUCUGCUGUUUCCCAGAACUGCACUUUGCAGAAGCGUGAAGUUAGACACUUCACAAUUCUAUCAAGUUGAGACAUUAAAGAAAAAAACUCAUAUUAAAACCCAUAUUAAAAAAAACAAACAAAACAAACUUUAAUAUGUUUUUUUCCAAGACCUAAUAUACAAAUGCAACGGUAAUAAUGUACUCUUCUUUUGUAAGCUUGGAUGAAAUAUAUUGAAGUCCACUUUUUGCAUGUUAUGUAAAAAAUCAUCUAAAGCAACCUAAAAAAGAAGAAAAAAAGCUUAAUCCAUA
This is a long non-coding RNA of Corapipo altera (White-ruffed manakin), 5463 nucleotides long. RefSeq lists it as uncharacterized. NCBI's taxonomy places the organism in Eukaryota, Metazoa, Chordata, Aves, Passeriformes, Pipridae. The transcript is spliced from 4 exons. The record is from RefSeq and is a predicted model, not a curated record.